Molecule: ribosomal RNA, 253 nt
Filed under: uncultured bacterium
Lineage: Bacteria
Description: partial 16S ribosomal RNA
Rfam family: Bacterial small subunit ribosomal RNA
Source: RNAcentral
GACGGAAGGUGCAAGCGUUGCUCGGAAUCACUGGGCGUAAAGGGUGCGUAGGCGGCCGCGCAAGUCUGGCGUGAAAGCCCCGGGCUCAGCCCGGGAAGGGCGCUCGAAACGGCGCGGCUCGAGUGCCGGAGGGGAGAGUGGAAUUCCUGGAGUAGCGGUGAAAUGCGUAGAUAUCAGGAGGAAUACCGGUGGCGAAAGCGACUCUCUGGACGGCAACUGACGCUGAGGCACGAAAGCGUGGGGAGCAAACAGG